GACUUUACCUAUCUAUAACUCACUCAAGUCCCUUGAAAGAAACAAAUGUUAUCAUUCAGUUGGUGGAUAGGUCCAUAGUUUAUUCGUAAGGUGUUUUAGAAGAUGUUAGAGUUGUGUGAUCAAAAUUCUUGUUAAACAAUUAAUAUAAUGGUAAAACUAGGGGAUCUAUGGUGGGCUUAAGGAUUAGGCUGCACAAGUACAAUCCAUAUAGAACUACUCUUCUUCUAUUUGACAUUGAUUGCACAAGUAGAAUCAAUAUAGAACUACUCUUCUUUUAUUUGACAUUGAUUAUAAUAAUGCUUUUUUAACCUUUAAAUAGAUGUAAUUGAAACUUCUCUUGUAUGAUUCAAUUUUAAACGUUAGUGAAUUUUCUUCUCCUCUUCCCAUGGUUUUUUCCUAAAAAGGUUUGAAUUUUCUUCUCCUCUUCCCAUGGUUUUUUCCUAAAAAGGUUUCCACGUAAAAUCUAUAUAUUUUAUUUUUCUUUCUUAUUGCUUUGCGAUAUUUCUAUAUUGUCAUUAUCGAUGUUCAGCUUUAACAAACUGGUAUUAGAGCUUUUUGGGUUGCUUAUCUAGAUCAUGAUAAUGACAAUAAUGAAGUAUGAUAUUUUGUUGUUGGAUCACAAUACCAGAUUCACAUUGUGACAGAUAAAGAUGCAGAUAAUUCUUGUGUAGAUAGAUUUGAAGGAUGCCUUGCUAGGUUUAGAUAAGAUGCCUUCGACAUUAAUAAAGGAAGAGAAGAAGCUUAAAGAUCGAAAGGCAUUAAUGCAAUUACAUCUACAUCUGUCGAUUGAAAUUCUACAGAACAUGAUGAAGGAGAAGAUCAAUGUUGUAUUAUAAGCAAAGUUGCAGCAGUUAUGCAUGUCGAAAACCCUAACUAGCAAGUUGUAUACGAAGUAGCGUCUUUAUGCUCAUCGUUUGGAAGAAGGUGCGUCUAUUCACGAACACUUAACUGUGUUUAAAGAAAUUCUCUCAGACCUAGAAGCCAUAGAAGUUUAGUAUGAUAAAGAAAAUUUAGGGUUAAUUCUACUUUGUUUGUUUCCCCUAUCUUAUUCAACCUUUACAGAUGCAAUUUUUUAUGGUUGUGAAUCUCUCACAGUUGAUAAAGUCUAUGCUUCCUUAACCUUGUAUGACAAGAUGAAACAUCUUGUGGCUGGAUUUUACUCUUAGGGAGAGAGUCUCAUUUUUCGUAGGAGACAAGAAUAAAAUACUGAUGAUAAUCGUGGGAGGACAUAGGAAUGAAAUCCUCGCAGUAAAUCUAAAGGUAGACUGAGAUAUUCAAACAGAGGUAAAAUUUGUAACUUUUGUAAGAAGAAAGGGCACAUUAAGUUUGAGUUCUAUAAGUUGCAGAAUAGGAUCAAAAGGGAGAUGACGAAUUGAAAAAGAAAACAACCAGAACAAUCUGAUGAAGCUGAUGUUGUAGAAGACUACAGUAAUGGUGAACUCCUAGUUUCAUUUGCCGAGAACUCUAAAGUGAUCAAGUAGUGGAUCCUUAAUUCUGGUUGCACCUUCCAUAUGAGUCCCAAUCGAGAUUGGUUUACAACAUAUAAAAUAGUGUUAUUUUGAUAGGAAAUAAUGCUUUAUGUAAAAUCAUAGGUAUUUGCAUGAUCGAAAUUAAGAUGUUUAAUGGAGUCCUCAAGACAUUUAGUGGCGUACGACAUGUGCCAUAAUAAAAGAGAAAUUUGAUUUUGUUUAGUACUCUUGAUUUAAAAGGGUACAAGUAUACAACUGAAAGUGGGGUUCUGAAGAUUAACUAGGGUUCAUUCGUUGUGAUGAAAGGGUAGAGAAAGAUUGCGAAGUUAUAUGUUUUGCAAGGUUCAAUUGUUAUUGGUGACGCAACUGUUAUUUCCUCUUCCUUGUCAGAUGAUGAUGUUACUAGACUUUGGCAUAUGUGUCUAGGGCAUAUGAGUGAGAACUACAUGAUAUAAUUGAGCAAAAGAGGACUUCUUGAUGGACAAAAUAUUAACAAAUUGAAGUUCUAUGAGCACUUCAUUUUUGGGAAGCAAAAGAGAGUUCGAAUCAUAAGAGGAACCCAUAACACAAAGAGAACACUGGAUUAUACUAAUUAUGAUAUUUGAGGACCAUUGAGAGUGCCUUUGAGGGGUGACGCUAAUUAUAUACUUAUGAUCAUUGAUGAUUUUUCUAGAAAAAAUUGGGCAUUCUUCUUGAAGUAUAAAAGUGAUGUGAUUUUCAUGUUUAAGGCUUGGAAAACUAUGAUCGAGAAGCAGACAAGAAAAUAGAUAAAACUACUUCACACAAAUAAUGGCUUGGAAUUAUAUUUUAAUGAGUUUAAUGAAUUAUGCAAAUAAGAAGGGAUUGUGAGACACUUGACAAUUCAUCAUACUCUACAACAAAAUGGCAUUUCAGAAUGGAUGAAUAGAACAAUUAUGGAAAAUGUUUGAUGUAUGUUGUCAUAUGCUUGUUUACCGAAGUUGUUUUGGGCUGAAGCAGCCUCUACUGCAUGUUUUUUUAUUAGCCAAUCUUCGUCCGUUUCCUUUGAGAAAAAUACUCCACAAAAGGUAUGGUCUGAUAAUCCUGUUAAUUAUUCUGAUUUGAUGAUUUUUGGACGUCCUGCGUAUGCUCAUGUUGAUAAUGAGAAAUUGGAACCUAGAUCCAUUAAAUGUAUUUUUCUUCGUUAUAAGGCUGGUGUUAAAAGGUAUAAGUUAUGGUGUCCAGAAAAUAUAAAAGUUGUGAUUAGCAAAGAUGUUAUUUUUUAUGAAAUUGCUAUGUUGCCUAACUUAUCUCUUAAAGAAUCUUCCAAUAAAGACCAGCAAAGUUCAAACACACAUAUAAAGCUGGUGGAGCUUUAGAUUGAUCCAAGACCUACAAUAGAGUCUACUCUUCAAGUUAGUAUAGAAACUCAAAGUAGAGUUGCUUAUUCACCACAAUAUUCUAUUGCCAAGAAGAGACCUAGAAGUGAAAUUAAAUCUCCAAAGAGGUACGCCGAAGCUGAUCUAGUUACUUAUACUUUAAACAUGGCUGAAGAUAUAGAUACAAAUCAAGAGUCAUCUUCUUAUUCCUAGGCAGUUAGCUGUGAAGAUUUAGGAAAGUGGAUGUUUGUUAUGCAAGAAAAGAUGGAAUCAGUCCAUAAGAAUAGAACAUGGGACCUAGUGAAGCUUCCUAAGGGUAAAAAGGUUAUUCAUUGUAAAUGAGUAUUCAAGAAGAAAGAAGAGACUCUAGAAGUCGAAGAACCCAAGUAUAAUGCAAGGCUGAUUGCAAAAGGUUACAGUCAGAUUCUAGGUGUAGACUUCAUACAUGUGUUUUCUCCCGUUCUAAAGUAGAAUGCCAAAACAACCAUACUGCCUUCGGUGUAUUGACAUAGCUAGUAGAUGUCGUGACACGCCUUCGGAGCAAAGCCAAAGCUAAGCACGCUGCCAUUGAUGUCGAGACAUAGCAAGAGGAUGUCACGACAUCGAUCAUGUACAUGAAAGCAUUAACGAGUUAAGGGCGUUUUGGUCCAUAAAAAGAAAAUUAACGAAGAAAUAUCAAUCGACCUAGGGCUAAGGAGGACGACCAACCCUAACAUUAUAAAUAGACUCAUUAAACACUUGAGAGGGGACCUUUUUUUUAACUUAAAAUUUUCUUUUUAAUCUAGUUUCAGUUUUUAGUUCAUUUUAGCCUUAGGAUUUAUUUUCAUUUGUUUUUUCUCGUGAUAUUCAGGGAAUCUGAUUUGUGGAUUCAACCAAACGCUUUGUGGAUUUAUGCGCUAUAAUUUUUCAAUAAACCAGGAUUCUUCUUAAACCUUUUAUUCUUGAUUCGUUAUUCAUGUUCACUUUAUUUAUCAAGUUUAUAUUGUUUGAGAAAUCCAUAAGUAACUAAUCCUCUUAUGGGAGAUUAGCGAGUGAAAGUGUGAUUAAUUAAUUUCUAUGUAGGGUUUCUUAGUGAAUUAGCUGUUUAGGAUAGGAAAAAACUUAAACCCUAAGCCUGACAACCCUAGGAAGUCAUCUAGGUGGGAAUUAACCCAAAAUUGGUAUUGCCUAUCCAUGAACCCCUUACCCCAAACCGGUCUAGACUGUGAGGUCGAGAGAUAAGUAGCUCUUGUCGACUCGUUAGUUUUGGCAGAAGAUCGAGAGGUCUUGCUAGGGUAAUAACUAGUUGAUUGAGUAGAAAUCCAAUAUAAGAAUUAGUUAUGACCACUGAAGCGAGGUAAUCACCCAUGCUUAGGUUUGGUUGAGUUUAUAGAUUAGUUUUCUAUUUUCACUAUUUUAUGCAUGAUUUAUUCUUGCCUUUAUAAAAAUAAUUCCUUUUUAAUUUAUAUUUCGUCGUACUAUAAUUUAUUUAAAGUACUAAUUAAUUCUAUUUACGUUUAGGUUAAUCUUAAUUUAGUACUCGCCUCUCUUGGGUACAAUCCUCAAAGUACUUACCUACUUUAUUGUAAAACUAUAUUACAACCUGACUCGAUACUUGCGGACACCACCUCAAUUCCAUAAUUUUAGUAGCAGUAUUCACACUUUGGACGUUAGUACGUUCUAAGGUUGCCAGUCAGCAAACAACAACACGAGAAUUCACCAUUAGAUACGUUAAAUGUCUACUUUAAUACCAAUUGCUGCUACCUACAGUUGUUGUUUUCUUAAUAUGAAAACUUGUAAGGGAACUUCUUGACUUUAGUGGCCACUAUGGCUUGACACUGCGAAAAAAUGUGCAAACAAAAACAAAAAACACCAAGGAUUUAUUUACGUAGUUUGGUUUCCCUAUAUCUGUGGAGUCUAGCUCAAUGAGUAAUCCCACUAUCUUUAAUUCACAAUAUAUCAAGUGGUUUACACUUUAUCACUCCCCAAGUAUAAAGAACUUACCUUUGAACAUAAAUACUACAACACUCACCUCCAAAUCUUUCCCUUGAGAACUUGGGCAAUAAACACUCAACAAUGUUUACAAUAUAGUUUGCACUCUCUCACAAAAUAGUUCCUCAAUGAACAGAUUCAAUUGUUCUCAAUAAGUUCUCUUACAUAACCUAGACAAGCCUCAAGUAUAAUUAUCAAUCUCAACUACAAACAUAAAGUCUAAGUGAAUACAAAAUAACUCCUUCAAAAUAGCUAUUACAACAUCAAUAUUCAAAGCACAAUCAAUUAAAGAUAUGCUUUUCAAAUUCAACAGCACAAUCUCGAUUAGAUCUCCAAAUUCCAAGGGUUGGAUAGAUUCAGUCGAAUCCAGUCCAAUAUUCAAAGUUCAAAUUUUGGUUUCCAUAGAUGGACCAUAGUAUCUUCAAUAUAACAAUACAUUAACAUGCCCUAAGAUUUUCUUUAUUAAAUUGCAAACUCAAAUAAGACAAAUAAUCAACUGCCUUAGUGGCAACUAGAGGUGCUCAUGGGCCGGGCGGCCCGGCCCGGCCCGACGGCCCGCCCGAAAUAUGGGAGGGUUUGGGUAAAAAUAUAGGCCCGAAAUAUGGGCUUGGGCAAAAAAACGAGGCCCGAUUUAAAAACGGGCUGGGCCUCGGGCACAACUUUUUUGGCCCGGGCCCGGCCCGGCCUGAAUAUAAUAAAUAUUUUUAUUAUUUUUUAUUUUUUUAAUUUUAAAAUACUUUUAAAAUACUUUUAUUAAAUUUUUUAAAUUUUAAAAUAUUUUUAAAAUACUUUUUAAAUUUUUUUAAUUUUAAAAUAUUUUUAAAAUACUUUUUUAAUUUUUAUUUUAAUUUUUAAAAUAUUUUUUUGGUAUUUAUUUAAAAAAACGGGCCGGGCCGGGCCCGGGCUUAUGAAUUUUUUCCCGGGCCGGGCCUGGGCAAAAUUCUAGGCCCAUAUUUUGGGCUGGGCCAGGCCCGGGCCUAGGACUCGGGCCGAAAUUUUUUUCUGGGCCCGGCCCGGCCCAUGAGCACCUCUAGUGGCAACCUAUAAUGAGCAUUGUCGAGUGCCACUCAAUUUCAUUCUUCACAUCUUGCUUAAUCAUCAUGUAUUUAUUUGUUGUUGUUUCGCUCUUGUUUCUAAUAAAUUUCUUAAUUGGAUGUUAAUUUAGUGAGGAGAUUUAAAGGGAAAAAAAAGACUUCAUAUCAAAAAGACUUUUCUUAGUAGAAGAUAGAAUAAUUUAUAAAAUCAACACACCAAUCACAUAUAAUGUAUUAUAUCAAAUAAAUUAAAGUCAAUGGACAAUAUUCACACGAAAAUAAAAACGCAGGGCGAGGAAGCUUCCAAUCAGUUUAUUUAUAGAUAGGAUGGUGUUUACAACCUCCACCAUUCUAAUUAUUAAGUGGGCACGUUCUUAUUUAUUCAAGUAUUCGUAUUUAUAUGUAUAAAAAAGGCAUUCCUAUUUAAAAAUCCGGCAGCUAAUUAGACCAAGUUGCUGUUGCGUGGUCAAGAUUUGUUUUGUUUUUAAUAUUACUAGGGAGAAAUCAACCAGGUAUUACAUAAUAUGUUUUCGACAAUAAAUUAUUUCCAAGUCUGCGUGAUUUCUCAGUAUAAAUGUUUGUGUUUUGUUAAUGAAAAUGAAGCAACAAUUCUACUAGCUUUCAUCUACAUUUCGCCCCAGAAAUUAUAGUAAAGCAGAGACAAUGAGAGGAUUAUCGGUGUUGAGUUGGAUUCUGAUCAUCUGCGUCUGCCAAGUAGCAGUGCGGAGCCAAUACUACUCGGACACCGUACCAUAUCAACCCAGGCCAGUUGUGGUCACCAAUCUUCAUUUCUAUAUGCACGAAUUUACGGGCACUACAGCAGUCGUGCUAACCCAAGCUAACAUCACAAGCAAUAAUACAUCAGUGACAUUUGCCACCCUAGUUGCCGUUAAUGAUCCCCUCAGGACUGGUCCUGAGCCUGACUCAGAGCUGAUUGGAAAUGUUCAGGGUAUUUCCCUCCUAGCCGGAUCAAAUGCAUCGAGCACGCAGUACAUAGAUUUUGGAUUCAAUACCGGUAAGUUUAACGGAAGCUCUCUAAGCGUAUUUUCAAGGGGAGAAGCUGGGCUUGCGGUGGUCGGAGGAAGAGGCCAAUUCGCGAUGGCAACAGGGACUGCACUAUUUAACCCUAUCCUUAUAAAUGCCACCAAUGUCAUCAUUGAAUUUAACGUUACUGUAAUUCAUUACUAAGAUGUUAUUUACAGAGUCAAUCGUCUUGGGUUGUGUGAAAGUCAUAUGAUUAUGCUCCACUUGUUAGAAUAAAUGUAUGAGAAAUAUAUAGGUUUGUAGUAUUAAAAAUUAAAAUUCUCAUACUUGGUCAUUGUACUUUAUCAUUAUACGAGAAAUAAAUAUUAAAUCCUUAGCUACAAAAAUAUAUCUACUCCGUACUUAUCUUCAUCUCUAAUAGAGGUUGGCUUAUGCAAAAUUCGGAAAGUUUAUUGAUAACGAAACAAUUAUUAUAUGGUGUCAAAGUCAAAUAUUACAACAAAAGCAAGUUUCUGGACUAUUUGGCGUUGACUGCAACAAAGCAAUCAUGAAAACUUAAAAAAACCUAAUAUGGGCAUUGGUGUGUUUGAUUCUUUGGCCCUCGACAUGUUUACUUUGCUCUAUAUAUCAUGACAAAUAUAUUCUUGUGUUGGGACUUCAAUUCCCAAAAAUAUGAUCCAGAUAACCAAAGUUUGAUCAAAGACAGAGAGAAAAGUUUCAUUAUUUUUAUUGAUACCAAAUUUUGUCCAAGUCGAUAAAUCCAGAUUAGGCCAUACUUAGUCCACUAACAGAUCAACAAAUCAUGGCAUAAUGCCAAAUUUUGCAAUCAAUAUUAGAUUUUUUUUUUUAAAUUAUGCUGUUAUUCUUUGAUCUUUUCGCUAAAUUUAACUCUCAACCUUUCGUAAAAAUUAAAUUUGACCAUCAACCUUUUAAAAAUAGUCAAAUUAUUAUAUUUUUAAUGCAAUUAUUAACUAAAACGUUAAAAUUUUUAAUCAUGAUAGCCCGCAUAGCAAUUCACACGUCUUUCAUGCUAAUUUUAUAAAAAUUUCUAAACCUUUUUAUAACUUUUAUUUUAUUUUAUUUUUUAAAUAUUUUAUAACUAUGAAAUUAUUAGUUGACGUGGCAUAUUAAACAAAAAAAAGGCCAUGUCAUACCUAGAUUGCCACACCAACAUCAUAAAAAAAUUAAUGUUUUAAUCAACAUUUUCAUUAAAAAAGAUAAAUUGACACUUUUUAAAAGAUUAAUGACAAAUUUUAGUUCAAGUAAAAGAGCCCUAUUAAGAAAAGUUAAACGUUGAGGGCUAAAAUUGACAUUAUAUUAUAAAUCAACCUUUUGAACUUAAUUCAAGACUCAGUUAAAUUUUUGGGAUUAAAUUGAAAUUUCAAAUUAAACUAAGCCUUUGGUUAAAUUUUUCAAAAGUUAAAUCACAGCAAAAGUUAAAUUUGACUUCCUAAUCUCCAACCAUAGACCAAAUUUGUUGAAGUGUUCAGCUUAUUACAAUUUCUUUCAUAUAAAAUUUCACUUUUAGUUUUAUAACAGAUUAAUAAAAAUGCUCUUAACUUGUAAACUCAAACACUCAACUAUACUAUUUUAGUGUAAAAUCUUUUUCUUGUUUUGAAGAUAUUGUUUAGCAAUUGACAUUUAUAUUAUCUUAAAUAAUUUGAUGUAUUAUGAAUAAGAUUAUUUAUUUGAUGUAUUAUGCGUUCUUCUUAUUACACAAUUUUAUAAUUGUUCGACAUAGUCACUCAGUUGAACAAACCUCGCUCACAUCGGAUGACAGAAAGGAGCAAAGUUGCCUAUAUAGGAACUCGUCCAGCUGACCUGAAGAAAGUCACGAUCAUAUCAUGUUGCAUCUCACCACUGCAGCAAAAAUGAUGUUUAGCGGCAAUCCCUUGCGGCGUUUACAGAGAAAGUGUCGUGUCGGUGCUCAUGUAGUGGUGUUUGGAAAAAAAAAACGCCAUCAUAUGCGCAUGAUAUAGUGGUGUUUACCCAGAAAACACCGUUAAUUCACUCACGUCAGCCAGCGAAUUUCAACAUUGCAGCCGGUAACACAUUCGCACUAAAUAUUAUAUAUGUCACUGUUUCUCGAACAAUCACCAGGAAAUAUUUGAACUUAUGGUGGCGACCAAGUCUCAAAUGCUGUAAUUUAUACAAUUGAAAAAUAUAAUUAACUUUUAAAUUUUAAUUUGUGUAUAUUAGUGGCGGUUUAGUACAUGGGAGAUAAUCUCAUCACCUAUCCAAAAGAAGCCUAGGUGUAGUCAAAUAAACUAUAUUAAGCUCUAAUUACAUAUUUUAUUGUUUUGAGAGAGAGAUUAAAUGCUAACUAUAGACUAAUUAAAAUAGAUUAAAAUGGUUUCCCAAAAUAAAAUGGUACAUUUUGAAUAUAGAAACAAGUAUAAAAAAGUAAUAGGAAAUUAUAGUAUUUUAAUAAAGGUUAAAUAUAAAAUUGGUACUUGAAUUUGUUCACUUCUCUCAGAUUGGUACUUAUAACUUUUUUCUUGUCCUAGAUUGGUAUUCGAAUUUUUUUUUCUGUUAAUUAAAUAAGUACCUGAAUCUAAUGCCGUUAAGUUUAAGACAUGUGAUAAAAUAAGAUUGUGACAUGUGCCAUAAAUGAUGUCAUGGUGAUGUCAUAAUUUAAAAAUAUUUUAUAUUUUUUCUUUUGUCCCCCUUUGUUUGAUGUUCCUUUUUUUUUUUCCCAUUUUCUUUCUUCUUCUUCUUCUCUCUCAUCCCAAGUUUCUUCUUCUUAUUUGGCAAUGACAAUCAACAAUUUUUUUCCACCGGUUUUUUCCUUCCUCAACCUUAAAACCCUUCUCUUCUAUUUUUCUUUUUUCUAUUUGUUUCUCGAGAAAGAAAAACCUAGAUUUUCUAUUUUUCUUUUCUGCAUAUACACUUGGAGAGAUUGGAGGAAAGUUUUUUGCUGGUUCUGAUAACUAAUUGUGAAGAUUUCUUUUUUAUUUUGUUGAAGUUUGUGAGAAUUUGUAAGAAAAAUGGUGAACAAAGUUUAGGAUAUUUGGAACUACUGUUAUAUUUCGAUUCUCUUUUGGAAAUAAAUUUGUUUUUAUACAAUUUUUCUUAUGUGACAAAUACAUUUGGAAGAAAAAAGAGCUAUUUUGGCGAGAAAUUUCAACUGGUCACCUUUUCCUCCACUUUUUUAUUUGCUCUGAUUUAUUUUCAGAAACAUUAAUGCCUAAUCGUCACCUCUCUUUUCUCUCCCCCAUUAUACCCUCAAACCCCAACACCAAAACCCCCCAAUUCAUCCUUAACUUUCAUUGCAGCACCCUACAACAACCUUCUAACUCAAACUUAGUCCCCACUCAACAGUUCAAUUUAAACCCUCAAAACCCUUUUUAAAACAAGUUCCAUGUUUGCCCAAAACAAAACCUAUCAUCAUUCUCUAUAAACCCAAAAUGCCCCCUUUUCCAAACAUAUAUUGGAAAGGGUUUUGAUUAAACAGUGAGAACAAACAUAAAACAAAUAGGAAGAAGUAAUAAAGAAGCUUUAGAUUAAAAAAAAUUGAAAGUUUUUAAAAUUUGGAAAUCUGAGAAAAAGAGAAAUGAAGGAGAUGAAGUUGGAGAAACAAAAAAAUCGUUGACUGUCACUCCAGUGCCAUUUUUAGGCCGAAAAGAAGGCCAACCAUUGGCGACGAUGGAGGCAGCAACUUGGGUUGAGGGAGGAAGAAGGAAGAAGGAAAGAAAAAGGAACCUCUCAAAAAAAGGGGAGGAAAGUCGAAAGAAAAAACAGUUUUUUUUUAUUUUUUUUUAAAAUUACGACAUCACCAUGACAUCAUUUAUACCAUGUGACAUAAUCUUAUUCUGCCAUGUGUCAUAAACUUAACAGCGUACUCAAGUACCGAUUUAGUUGACGAAAACAAAUAAAAAAAACUACAAGUAUUAAUCUGGGAGGAGUAGAUAAAUUCAAGUACCAAUUUUAUAUUUAACCCUUUUAAUAAAUUUUCUUCUUUAUCUAAGACACUCAUUUAACUAAUUAAAAUCAUUGCAUAUUUUAUUGUGUGGUUAAAUAAUGAAAAAUAUUAAUUAUUUUUCUCAUAAAAUGUUAUAAUAAAAAUAGAGGCAAAUUCAUAUUUUUGUUCUUAAAAAUGGCGGACUGUGUGUCCACAAAGAAACUAGGGAGCAUUUUGAUAUAAUCCCAAUACAACUCUCGUCCAAUCGCCAAAAGUUUUAGAAGGCCUCCAAGUUGCCAAAAGAAAAAAAUUUGUUUUAGUCUGUUGUCAAGCUACACAGGGAAGAGGCUACAUGCACCUUGCUCCGGGUGUACCUUGAAAACGAUGGCUUGCGUCCAAGGCCAUUACUUGAGCGUGAUGGCCAACCAAAGUUGUUCAGAGGGCCAUCCCCAAGCGCAAUUGUUACCCAAAGUCCUUAGAAGGCCUCCGAGGGCCAUAUCUGUGGCCUUCGAGUAUCCAGACGACAAAUUUACCUAAGUUGUCAAGCUACGUUAGGAAGAGGCUAGACAACCUUUGCUCCCGGUCGUGAUGGCUGGCCAAAGUUGUUAGAAGGGCCAUCCAUGUUGAUUAUAUACUUUAAAAGUAAUUAACAAGGUUGUGGCUACUCUUCAUUAUUUCAAAAUUAUAUUGACAUCAAAUUUUAUGCAUAAAAAGUAAAUAAUAUGCAUAUAUCAAUAUAUGAUAAGUACACUUAAAUGAUACCUAUGGACAUUAAUACGAGAAUAACCCCUGUUUUACUUAAUUAUGCAUAAAAUCAAGCAUCAAAAUUAAACUGAUAAAAUUUAAAAAUUUCUAGAAUAUUUGAAACUUUGACAUUUGUUUAUUACUAUAGAAUGUUAAAUGAUAUUGUCGAAAUUGACAUUUUUAUGUGUUUUAUUUUGAUGAACUUUUGGGUACGAUGCUACUAAUUUUGGUAUUUAUUGUCUAAAUUUCUAUAUAUCUGUAGUGCAAGUACAAAUUAUGGAGAACAAGUAAAAAUAUGGAGUUACAUGAAAGAUUUGAGCAUGAGAGUAGUAAUUUGACGUACAAGGCUUUUAGAUUUUAGGAUGAUUUUAUUUUAAUAUUUAUUUUUAUUUAAAUAUUAUUUGUAAAGAUAUGUUAUUAAGAGUUUAAUCAAGAUUAAGUUUUAUCCCAUAUCUUUUAUUUAGAUAAUUAUUCAAUUUUAUCUUUUUGAGUUUGUUUAGGAAUAGAAUACUAAGUUAUUUGAUAAAUUGAAAAUCUAAAUGUUGAAAAAUUAAAUAGUAAAAAAUUAAGUAUUGAAUUUAAGUUAUAAAAUAUGUUUGGUAUAUUACUUAACUACAAAAUUUAAUUAGAUUAUUUAAUAUAUAAUAAUUUUAAAAAUUUUAAAGGUAAAAUAUUUAAAGGAUUAUCAAAUGUGCUUAAAAGUUAAAUCACUAAAAAUAUUAAUUUUUAGUUGAUUUAAUUUUUUCAAUGGACUAUGAGAAAAAGGGUAAGGUGUUAAUUCCAGCUUAAAAUCGUUGAAAACGUGGAUCAUAGCUUGAAUUUAUUUUCUUAAAAUAAAUUUUAUUUUAUGUGAAUUACAAUUUCUAUGGGUUCCUUUGGAGAUAAUUACUUUCCCAUUGAAAGUAAUAAAAUCAUUUUUUAUUCUGCGUUUGGCCUGCAUUGCUUGAGCCCACACUCGGCACAAUUUGGAGUACAAAGAUAGUAGAGAAAGUCAUUCGGAUGAAAGUCUUAAACGAUUCAAAUCUGUCUCGCUUAAAGCACAUACUUUUUAGGAAAAGUUUAUUGCUAUAUCUCAGUCUAGAUCGAAAAAGAACCGUUAAAUACUAGAUGGGACCCAAUGCAAUUAAUGCACCAUAGAAAAAAACACUUUUGGGAAUUCUGUUUGCUUCAGAUAAAUUUCAUUCAUGUUUAUUGGGCACUAAAGAUAUUGUUUUUUCUGAUCUUGCAACCUUGAAGUUUUUACUAAGCAAAACCGAGACUAAUCCGAUGGAUCCUUCUUCUUCAAGAAAUUGAUCUCGAAAUUAGAGAUAAAAGUGGCUGUGGAAACUCAAUGGCUGACCAUCUGAAAAUUGCCAGUUUUGAAGAUCGUUCACCUUUAAAGGACAAAUUCCUGGAUGAAAACCUCUUCUCCGUUCACAAAAUUUAUCCGUGGUAUGCAGACAUGAUAAAUUACCUAGUAACAGGUACACUCCUCACUAAAUUAACUCGAUCUGAAAAAGAUAAAAUUAAGUGAGAGCCUAGAUAUUAUAUUUGAGAUGAUCCAUACUUGUGGAAACACUAUCCAGAUAAGGUAAUUAGAAGGUGUGUGCCCGAAAUUAAGCUAAACUCCAUCUUAUCAUUCUGUGAUUCUUAUGCAUACGGUGACCAUUUUAGUCCUAAAUGAACUACUCAUAAAAUUUUAGAAUGUGGUUUAUUUUGGUUUGUGUUAUUUCGUGAUGCUUAUACAUUCUGCAAAACUUGCGAGAAAUGCCAAAGGUUAGUUAACUUAAGUCGAAGAAAUCUAAUUCCAUUAACCUCGAUUUAUGAUUGGAAAAUCUUUAACGUAUGGGGAAUAGAAUAUUUCAUGAGCCCUUUUAUGUCCCAUCCUCCUCCUUAAUAGCUCAUCUACAUGGGAGUAUUCCUAACUCCUUUACUUUUCAAUAUUUUCAAUUCCUUUUCAAUAUUUUCAAUUCCUUUACUGUAAUUUUUUUCAUUUUUGCUGCUAUUCUUGCAUAUCUACUAUUGAAUGUGCAACGCCCCGCUUAAUUUGUUUUUAUUUCUGUAAAUGCCUAACACAAAUUUGUAUUUGCUUCAGUGGUUAAAUAUUUUAGGUGUGUGUAUGAGGUCUUGAGUUCAAGUCUUAUAUUUGCAAAUUUUGUUAGUCCUAGCCUUAUCCUUCAUAGAUUGGGUUAUAUUCUGUUUUCGGUAAACUUACAUUAGAAUGAGCCUAUUGGUUCGAGUGGUAAGAAGUUAGGGUGUUGGAGGUCCCGUGUUUGAAUCUUUAUGAGAGUGAAGGUGUUAAUUUUUUGCUUUGUUAGCAUCAGAGUUUCAGUAGAGCUAAAAUUCUGAGGUGGUUGUGAGUUAGUGGGAGAAAAAUAAGGGGACAUGUUAUCAUAUCUGGGAUUUUUAUUUCUUUUUUUAAAUUUUUAGUUAUUUUUUUUCUUUUUUUAAAUUUUUAGUUUUUUUUCUCUUUCCCAAUAACAAUCUAACGUUAGUUUCUUUGUUCCCUGCCAUUUUUUUCCUCUCUUUUCCAGCAAUUUUAUCUCUUUUUAUCGUAUCUUCAUUUCUCGAUAUUUCGAUGUUUUUUGUACGACUCUGGUAAGUGAAUUUUGGUUUCUGUAACAUUUGAGUUAUAAAACACUGGUUAGAGUUAUACCUUACGUUUUGGCAAAUUAGUGAGUAAGUUAAGAGUUGUUUUAUGUAAAUUUGUGGUGUAAGAAAAGGUUGUGAGCAAGGAAGUUCUGCUUCGACAGCCUAAAUCAUGUUGGUGGCUGUUCAUGUUGUCAGUAAGUUCUGUGCAUUAUUUCGAGUCAUGUGUCGAUUCGUAAAUUGAUUGCUAAUUGGAGAAGGUAUGCUGUAUAGUAGGUUUCGGUGGGCUUGAGAUUAUUGUAGCAUCUUAACCGAACCAGGUCUGUGUCCCAAAAACGCAAAAAAUUGGGUUUCGAUGAAAGUCAAAAAUGCAUUCUAUCGACGCCACAUGGGCGUGUGCCUGGCCGUGUGGUUGGCUGUAUGCAAGACACAGCCGUGUGUUUGACGAAGGUGUGGUCGUACGUAAGGCACAGCUAUGUGAUGGUGUGAGUGUGGCCGUGUUGGCCACACGGGCUAGGCCAAGUUAAGCGUGUAGGCCCACAUUGGCGUAUGGGUUGUGGGUCAGGCCGUGUGGGCCACACGGGCAAGGCCAAUCUGGGUGUGUAGGCUACACGGGCGUGUGGGCCCAUAAUUCUAAAAUUUUCCCUAGGGUCGCACGGAUCGUCCAAUAGACUAUGGUCUGAUAUUCUGUGAGUUUGCUCUGAGUAGGACACUGUAAUGCAUGUCUGAUUAUUUUGCUAUAUAUUCUAGAUACCUAUAUGCAAGCAUGUUAAGCAUGAUAUUUUUGUAUUUAUAAUCUGUAAUUAUGUUUGGGGGUGGGAAUUGUAUAUGUGGAGGAAGUAUUAUGUACAGCGAGCUUCCGCCUAUAUUCUGGUAGCUUGACUGCAUAUUAUCUGUUAUGUGUCGUAUCGACACUAUAUGGUGUGUAGGGACGGGUGGGUUUUUAUAACCCCACAUGGUGUGAUGGGAUAGUCGAAGAUGGUAUGUAGAGAAUGGGGGUAGGAUUAUGUAUAUUUGUUCUGCAUAUCUAGUUAUGUUAUCUGUAUUUGCAAAGGACUUAUGUCCAAAUCUGAAUCUGACUGAAUAUGUGAUUUUUGUAUGUUUAGCAUGCCUAUUUCUGUUGGGUUACACAUUGAAUUUACGAAAACUCACCUCUAUUUGUCUGUUCUAUUUAGGUAAUCCACAGACUUAGGCGGAUUAGUGUGGCAGAGUCUCAUGGUGACCACAAGUUUGCGAACUAUUUUAAAUUAAUGAUUUUGUUUAAAUAUGGAUUAUUUCUGGGACUUUGUAAUUAAGGGACUCUCCGAAUUGUUUGGUUUUAUUUUGGGAUUUCCAUUUUAACUCUGUAUUUGCAAUGGUUAGAAGAAAAUAUGGUUUUUACUAAAACGAAAGCUUUCUGAAAGUAUGAACGGGAUUUUCAAAUAUAACGAUUUCUAAGACGUCCGCGAUAAAUUAUGUUUUUGCAAAAGAAUUGAUUAAUUAACUCUUUCAGUAAUAAUUGUAAACUUGAAUGAUUUUUCAAACAACUAUACAAAGCUUUAUCGAAAUGGCAUUGCUUUCAAAACCCUUCUUUGUAACAUCUCUAGAUUCAACUAUAACGUCUAGGCCGGGUUUGAGGUGUUAAAGAAUGGGCUGGGUUUUUUUUUUUUUGUCAUUUCGUGCCCAUGACUAGGCCUAUAAUCGUUAAAUGCCUUAUAUUCCGCUUCUUCGUUCAUGUUUAUAUCAUUUGACAUUGGUCUGAAAUUCUUCUAUCUUUACAUCUUAGUCAUAUAGAUGUAUUGUAAAUGAAUACUCUUGUUUUGCACUUGAAAUUUGGUGAUUGAUUGAAUGACGUUUGGAUACUUUUUGUUUGCUAAUGGUCACUCCAUGGAUAUUGGCGUUUUUUAAAACUUUUUUGGACACUGCUAUGUGACAAAUGUUUCUCAAUUUUCUUUCUUCUUGAAACAAAAAGAAAAAAAUUUGAGGAAGAGAGGUUGAAUAAUGAUGUUGGUGUCUUAACAAGUUUGGUAAUUGUUGAUUUUCAUGGAAAUUAAUUAAAGAUUGGAUGAAACGAUUGUGUGUACUUAAUUGGAAAAUAUUCACAUCUAUUGCUUGGAUUGGAAGUCUUAAGGGCUAUAAUUUUAUAUACAUUCCUUUUCUGGCUUUUGACUGGCAAUAGCAGGGGUUAAGCGUUCGGAUACCUUUAAAGCAUGAUGGUGAAAGUGUUGAAGAGAACGGGAGUAUUGGCCUUCAUUUGAUUAGUUGUUUUAUUUCUGCUGCUAUGUAUUCAGUUAAAGGGAUUUUGCAGAGUUAAUUUUAUUGGCUUUGGUAGAGUUCAUUGUAUGCUGCAAGUUUUUGAGACUAGAAUGACUUGGAUUCUCCAUGGCCUUUUUCUGUAUUUGUUAAUGGUUGAGAAAAAAAAACAAUACCAAGUGUUAAUUUCAUUUUAAAAAGGUCGAAAACGUGGAUCAUAGACGGCUUUAAUUUCAAUUUCAGAAUAGACCCUUUGGUUUUCUUCUUCAUCUUGCGCCAUUGACCUUGCUACCAUUCUGCCAAGUUUCUUUCUUUUUAUUAAAUCCUAUUUAUUUUUAUUUCCUUUAUUUAUUUAAGGUUGAUCAAUUUCGGUGUUUGAGUUGUGAGACACGAAUCUAUAUUUAAUCCUUUUUACUUUAUCAUUCGAUUUUUUUUCUGCAUCAAAGAUAGAUAGGAUCAUCUCACAAUAUUCUUUUCGGCAUUAUUUCGAGAAAGGCCCUUGUACGGUGUUGAAAAUAAUUCAUAGUUGGUAAAAAUUAGUUUGAUUCGUAAUUGUCAAAAAAACAAGUUGACGUGAUUCAAUUAAGAGUGCAGUUUGGUGACACCACGGGAAUUAGUAAUCUUAUUAAUUUAAAUGAUCCAUACAAUUUAGAUAAUUAAUUAUAGUUGGGUUGUUUUAAUUUGCAAGGCUAUCAAGGAAUAAAUCCUAAAAGAUACUUUCUGGGUUAUUUGCUCAAUAAAAGUUAAUUGUAGGGUUGUUCUCACCAUUAAUUUACUGUUAAAACUAAAUUGAUGAUCUAAUCAACAUGUGAGAAGACAUUGGUAGUAUGUGAAUCCAUUUUUAAACCCAAGUUUAUUUUAUUUAAUUUCAUGUCCACACUUUAUUUACUAUUUUAUUUCUCGAGAUAUUAAUUAUAUCAAACAAACAUUUGUUUGCAGAAGAUAAAAUAAUUUAUAAAAUCAGCACAUCAAUCACAUGUAAUAUAUAAUAUCAAAUAAAUUAAAAGUCAAUGGUCAAUAUUCAGACGAAAACAGAAACACUGGGGGGAGGAAACUUCCAAUCUAAAAUAAUUAGACCAAGAUUCUGUUGCGUGAUCAAGAUUUGUGUUCUUUUUAAUAUUACCACGGACAAAUCAAUCAUGUAUUAUAUAAAAUGUUUGGGACAAUAAAUUAUUUUCAUGUCUGCGGGUUUUCUCACUAUAAACCUUUCUGUUUUCUUAAUAAAAUUGAGGUAACAAUUCUAUAGUUUCAUCUACAUUUCGCCCCAGAAAUUAUAGUAAAACAGAGACAAUGAAAGGAACAUUGAUGAUGAGUUGGAUUCUGAUCAUCUGCCUCUCCCAAGUAGCAGUGCGGAGCCAAUACUACUCAGAUACCCUACCAUAUCAUCCCAGGCCACCUAAGGUCACCAAUCUUCACUUCUUUAUGCACGAACUUACGGGUGUUACAGCAGUCGUGCUAACCCAAGCUAACAUCACAAGCAAUAAUUCAUCAGUGCCAUUUGCUACCCUAGUUGCUGUUAAUGAUCCCCUCAGGACUGGCCCUGAGCCUGACUCAGAGGUGAUUGGAAAUGUUCAGGGUAUUUCCCUUUUAGCCGGAUCAAAUGCAUCGAGCACGCAGUACAUAGAAUUUGGAUUUAAUACCGGUAAGUUUAACGGCAGCUCUCUAAGCGUAUUUUCAAGGGGAGAACCAGGGCUUGCGGUGGUCGGAGGAAGAGGG
This 17956-nucleotide long non-coding RNA is filed under the name Gossypium raimondii (Peruvian cotton). RNAcentral describes it as "long non-coding RNA (GRAI_LNC007867)". Lineage: Eukaryota; Viridiplantae; Streptophyta; Magnoliopsida; Malvales; Malvaceae. The record is from RNAcentral.